ACGUGGCAUGCUUAAGAAUUCAAGGUUUAAAAUCCCUGCAAUUCUAGAGCUUCUGGCUUAAUAUCAUUAAUCUUACGUGGCAAACUAAUUCCACGUAAUUUCUUUUAAGUUUAUUCAUAUUUUACAUUUAAUAUCGUUUAAUCUCAAAUACCAUGAUCAGUCGCCAUCUCCAUUCCAUCCCAAACCUCAAAAACCAUGACCAGUCGCCUCCACCACAAUCCCUUGAAACUCUCACCGCCACCACCGCCUUCGCCGCGCCGGCCACUAUCGAAAUAUGGCACCUCUUUCCCUCCACCGUGAUUUCCCCGCCAGCCAUCUGAUCUGCCACCUUCCCAAAAUUUGGGGAAAACCAGAACUCUGCAACUCUCACCGCCACUGCCGCCUUCGUCGCGCCGGCCACCGCCUUCGCCGUCGCCGCCAUCUUCCACCUCCAUUUCCCCAUUCCCCGCGAUUCCGCGAUCUGCCACCUCCUUUCGAAUCGACUCGCCAAUAAUCUGAAAAUCAUCAAAACCCGUUCGUACUGCCUCCCGCCUUGAUUCGCUUCGCCACGCCGGCCACCGCCGAGAUCGACACAGUCCGCCGCCUCGCCAUGGCCGUCCUUGAGCCCGGAAACCGUCCUUGAGCUCCAAAACUCGCCGUCGCUCAAACUUGCCUCCCCUUCCUGAAGACUCGCCACUGUCCAUGUGCCGUCGUCGGAGACUCCUCUGCCUCGACGAACAAGGCAGCCACCCCGGGCUCUCACAAGUGAAAGGAGAGUCUCACACAAACAGAUUGCAGUUCUGCAAUGGUUAACAUAGCAUGAGCUGGCCUGGGUCGUUUGGGAUGGUCCUGCAGCUUGGAAAAACGAUGCUAAUAGUUGUUUAUAUGUCACCAAACAAACUACCUGCAUAUUUCAUAUUAGCUUUUGCAAUUCAAAGUUGGCAUAAAUAGUUUUAAUGAGGGAAUGUAUUGAAUAAUGGAUUCAUGAUUCAUCUAAAAGAAAUGAAGCACCUGGGAAUGUAAAUUCAAAUUUAAUGAAAUAAGUAUUUCUGAUUUAGUUAA
This is a long non-coding RNA of Salvia miltiorrhiza (redroot sage), 1041 nucleotides long. RefSeq lists it as uncharacterized. NCBI's taxonomy places the organism in Eukaryota, Viridiplantae, Streptophyta, Magnoliopsida, Lamiales, Lamiaceae. The transcript is spliced from 3 exons. The record is from RefSeq and is a predicted model, not a curated record.